GGCGUGUGAGUGGUGUUUGGAAUGUUUGGAUAGUAGGCUCCGUGCUUUUGCAUCGAACUACUAAACAACAUCCUUUUCAAGGCUCGAGCGUUGUUUNAAUGCUCGAUGGACGAAUGUGUUCCUGUGUUGGAUACCCAUGUCGGAGGAACUAGGCUUCUGGUCUUUGUAGUCCUCUUGAUGCCUCUCAUGGGCAUCGAGUGGAGCACGUAGUUUGAUCUUUCAAACCUAGCAUGCCUGUUUGGUUGKGAUGGUUGUUCGAUCAAAGCUUGUGUUCUCGGAUGCGGAAUAUUCAAUGGGGCCAGGGAUUGUAUCCCUGCGUCUGCCCUGUGUGGGAAAUCGUCCCUUUAUAAGAACGACGUUCGCUGUUUUCACGAUUCGUCCGAUGCUCGCUCGAGCUGGAGAUGCUUCGUGGAUGCAUCGACGUCCUCGAAGGAAUGCUACCUGGUUGAUCCUGCCAGUAGUCAUAUGCUUGUCUCAAAGAUUAAGCCAUGCAUG
RNAcentral lists this unclassified non-coding RNA (495 nucleotides) under Diplopterys pubipetala. RNAcentral describes it as "partial contains external transcribed spacer and 18S ribosomal RNA". The stretch from base 439 to 495 matches the Rfam family "Eukaryotic small subunit ribosomal RNA", at positions 1 to 57 of the family's 1831-position model. Lineage: Eukaryota; Viridiplantae; Streptophyta; Magnoliopsida; Malpighiales; Malpighiaceae. The record is from RNAcentral.